AACCACUUGCAUGACAGGUUGGAUCACAGAAACUCCCUCAAGAUUGUCACUAGAUGUGCUGGGAUACUACUGAGAACAAACCCUCUGCCAGAAGAGGCUU
Chelonoidis abingdonii (Abingdon island giant tortoise) is the source of this 100-nucleotide non-coding RNA. NCBI's taxonomy places the organism in Eukaryota, Metazoa, Chordata, Testudines, Testudinidae. The record is from RefSeq and is a predicted model, not a curated record.